RNAcentral lists this long non-coding RNA (1686 nucleotides) under Homo sapiens (human). Its description in RNAcentral is "HSALNT0287431". The record is from RNAcentral. Lineage: Eukaryota; Metazoa; Chordata; Mammalia; Primates; Hominidae.
GUCAGAGGUCUUCACGGCAGCCCCUUUCAUCACAGGUUUGGAGGCCUAGAAGGAAAAAGUGGUUUCAUGGGCCAGGUCCACUGUCCCUGUGCUGUGUGCAUCCUAGGGACUUGGUUCCCUGUGUCCCAGCUGUUCCAGCUGUGCCUGAAAGGAGCCAUUGUAAAGCUCGGGCCAUGGCUUUAGAGGGUGCAAGCCCCAAGUCUUGGCAGCUUCCAUGUGGUGUUGAGCUUGCAGUGCACAGAAGUCAAGAAUUAGGGUAUGGGAACCUCCACCUAGAUGUCAGAAGAUGUAUGGAAACGCCUGGAUGCCCAGGUAGAAGUUUGCUUCAGGGGCAGGGCCCUCAUGGAGAACCUCUGCUAAGGCAGUGCAGAAGGGAAAUGUGGGGUUGGAUUCCCCACUCAGAGUACCUACUGGAGUACCACCUAGUGGAGCUGUGAGAAGAGGGCCAUUGUCCCAGACCCCAGAAUGGUAGAUCCUCCAACAGCCUGCAGCAUGAGACUGGAAAAGCUGCAGACACUCAACACCAGUUUGUGAAGGCAGCCGCAAGGGAGGCUGUACCCUGAAAAGCCACAAGGUGGGAGUCGCCCAAGAUCAUGGGAACCCACUUCUUCCAUCAGCGUGAGCUGGAUGUGAGACAUGGAGUCAAAGAAGAUUGUUUUGGAGUUUUAAGGUUUGACUGCCCUGCUGGAUUUCAGACUUGCAUUGGGGCCUGUAGCCCCUUUAUGUUGGCCAAUUUCUCCCACUUGGAAUGGCUGUAUUUACCUAAUGCCUGUACCCCCAUUGUAUCUAGGAAGUAACUAACUUGCUUUUGAUUUUACCAGCUCGUAGGUGGAAGGGACUUGCCUUGUCUCAGAAGAGACUUUGGACUGUGAACUUCUGAGUUAAUGCUGAAAUGAGUUGAGACUUUGGGGGACUGUGAGAAGGCAUGACUGGUUUUGAAAUGUGAACAUAUGAUAUUUGGGAGGGGCCAGGGAUGGAACGAUAUGGCUUGGUUCUGUGUCCCCACCGAAAUCUCAUCUCGUAGCUCCCAUAAUUCCCACGUGUUGUGGGAGGGACCCAGUGGGAGAUGAUUGAAUCAUGGGGGUGGGUCUUUCCAGUGCUGUCCUCCUGAUAGUGAAUGGGUCUGAUGAGAUCUGAUGGUUUUAAAAAUGGAAACUUCUCUGCACAAGCUUUCUUUUUUUCCUGCCGCCAUCCAUCCACAUAAGAUGUGAUUUGCUCCUCCUUGUCUUCUGCCAUGAUUGUGAGGCCUCCCCAGCCAUGUGGAACUAGCCUACUCUGGGCCAGCCAUCUUAGAUGCCAUCUCUGUGGUCCCAUCUUCACUGGAAAAUUUUAGAAGUGCAGACCAGGCACAUUGGAAGUAAGUUAUUUGGGUUGUUCCUUUGACUGUGCUUGCUGCCGGUCACUGACCAUCUGAGCCAGUGCCCUGGCGUUGAACCAGCCUUAGUCUCUCCCAAAGGUUUCUAUCCACUGGCCACCUCCCCACAUUUCUCUGCUCCCCUAAAAUGAAUGAGAAGGACUUACUAAAGGUACUCAGCAAGGCCUUGCCAAAGUUACAGGUGUCCCCUUCCUUUUCUCACUAAUGCUACCCUAGCUCUCCAGCUUCCCUUUUGGGCAUGUAUGGAGGGUUCAUGUUUCAGUUUCUUCUGAGCAUUUAGCUCUGUGCUAGUGCUUGUGGGAGGAUUCCUG